AUCUCACCUAGAUCAUACACUGUUGGAGAGAGCGUGGUGCUGAUAACGCCAAGGUUGCAGGUUCGAUCCCCUUAUGAGACA
Podarcis lilfordi (Lilford's wall lizard) is the source of this 81-nucleotide non-coding RNA. NCBI's taxonomy places the organism in Eukaryota, Metazoa, Chordata, Lepidosauria, Squamata, Lacertidae. The record is from the annotation of a GenBank genome assembly.